GGAAAGGCGCGCGAUACAGGGUGACAGCCCCGUACACAAAAAUGCACAUGCUGUGAGCUCGAUGAGUAGGGCGGGACACGUGGUAUCCUGUCUGAAUAUGGGGGGACCAUCCUCCAAGGCUAAAUACUCCUGACUGACCGAUAGUGAACCAGUACCGUGAGGGAAAGGCGAAAAGAACCCCGGCGAGGGGAGUGAAAAAGAACCUGAAACCGUGUACGUACAAGCAGUGGGAGCACGCUUAGGCGUGUGACUGCGUACCUUUUGUAUAAUGGGUCAGCGACUUAUAUUCUGUAGCAAGGUUAACCGAAUAGGGGAGCCGAAGGGAAACCGAGUCUUAACUGGGCGUUAAGUUGCAGGGUAUAGACCCGAAACCCGGUGAUCUAGCCAUGGGCAGGUUGAAGGUUGGGUAACACUAACUGGAGGACCGAACCGACUAAUGUUGAAAAAUUAGCGGAUGACUUGUGGCUGGGGGUGAAAGGCCAAUCAAACCGGGAGAUAGCUGGUUCUCCCCGAAAGCUAUUUAGGUAGCGCCUCGUGAAUUCAUC
RNAcentral lists this ribosomal RNA (545 nucleotides) under Escherichia coli. RNAcentral describes it as "partial 23S ribosomal RNA". It matches the Rfam family "Bacterial large subunit ribosomal RNA", at positions 344 to 894 of the family's 2925-position model. Lineage: Bacteria; Pseudomonadati; Pseudomonadota; Gammaproteobacteria; Enterobacterales; Enterobacteriaceae. The record is from RNAcentral.